Long non-coding RNA from Armigeres subalbatus, 613 nucleotides. RefSeq lists it as uncharacterized. NCBI's taxonomy places the organism in Eukaryota, Metazoa, Arthropoda, Insecta, Diptera, Culicidae. The record is from RefSeq and is a predicted model, not a curated record. The transcript has 3 exons.
AUCAUAAGCUUUCCAUUCCCCUUGUAAUCAUCAUUAUUUGUACGAUACAUAUACAAUCGAAUGAUAAAUAUAUUUUCCGACAUAAUCAUACACAAUUAUUGGCAAAUUAUACAUGUUAUAGUAAUGAUUACUAGAAUGGGAAAUGAAAAAUAAUAUGCCGGGAAAAAAUCAUACCUGAUAUAAUUUGGGUAGUUAUUCACACCCGACCGCAUAAAAAGAUUUUUUUAUUUUCAGUGUUGUAGUGACAUUUUCUUGCUGACGGCGUUGAUCGCGAGGUUGAUCGCCGGAAUUUUUUUUAAGUCGUUGGUGAGCUAAAAAACAAAAAGGAUGCAAAGUCCACUACACGGGAAAACGUUAAACGGAUUCAUGCCGCCUGCGGGCACUGGUGUUACGCCACUCCAUACAGCGCUGGCGGAAUAAGCAAAUCGGCUGAAUAAAAAGGAUAUGCUUGAGAUGGUGGAGUAUCCAGCUUGGUAAUGGCGGAGAUCAAACGUCCCUGUAUUUUUAAACUGAUAAUAGUUCCAGCAAAAAUAUGGAUGAUGUAAAAACUAUGUAAAAAACUAUGUAAUAUAAUAGCAAUAAUAGCAACUUUCCUGUGUUGGCUUUAUUUCAA